Molecule: unclassified non-coding RNA, 329 nt
Filed under: Hevea brasiliensis (rubber tree)
Lineage: Eukaryota; Viridiplantae; Streptophyta; Magnoliopsida; Malpighiales; Euphorbiaceae
Source: RNAcentral
GUUCAAUGCGCCGUCAGCAGCUUAUCAGAGAAUGUCCUAUCCUCUCUAACAUUGAACCUAAGCAAAUCAAAGUUUGGUUCCAGAAUCGAAGAUGCAGGGAGAAACAGAGGAAAGAGGCGUCAAGGCUUCAGUCUGUGAAUAGGAAGCUGACGGCAAUGAACAAGCUAUUAAUGGAAGAAAAUGAUAGACUACAGAAGCAAGUUUCUCAACUGGUGUAUGAAAAUGGCUACUUUCGCAGGCAAAGUCACAGUACUCCACUUGCUACGAAAGAUACCAGUUGUGAUUCAGUAGUGACUAGUGGUCAGCACCACUUGACAUCUCAGCAUCCG